Transfer RNA from Camelus ferus (Wild Bactrian camel), 72 nucleotides. It matches the Rfam family "tRNA". Rfam says of the family: Transfer RNA (tRNA) molecules are approximately 80 nucleotides in length. Their secondary structure includes four short double-helical elements and three loops (D, anti-codon, and T loops). Further hydrogen bonds mediate the characteristic L-shaped molecular structure. tRNAs have two regions of fundamental functional importance: the anti-codon, which is responsible for specific mRNA codon recognition, and the 3' end, to which the tRNAs corresponding amino acid is attached (by aminoacyl-tRNA synthetases). tRNAs cope with the degeneracy of the genetic code in two manners: having more than one tRNA (with a specific anti-codon) for a particular amino acid; and 'wobble' base-pairing, i.e. permitting non-standard base-pairing at the 3rd anti-codon position. NCBI's taxonomy places the organism in Eukaryota, Metazoa, Chordata, Mammalia, Artiodactyla, Camelidae. The record is from Rfam.
GAGGGUGCAGCUCAGUGGUAGAGUGUGUGCUUAGCAUGCAUGAGGCCCUGGGUUCAAUCCUUAGUACCUCCA